This 253-nucleotide ribosomal RNA is filed under the name uncultured bacterium. RNAcentral describes it as "partial 16S ribosomal RNA". It matches the Rfam family "Bacterial small subunit ribosomal RNA", at positions 524 to 776 of the family's 1533-position model. The record is from RNAcentral.
UACGGAGGGUUCAAACGUUGUUCGGAAUUACUGGGCGUAAAGGGCGCGUAGGCGGCCGCCUAAGUCAGACGUGAAAUCCCUCGGCUCAACCGGGGAACUGCGUCUGAUACUGGGUGGCUUGAAUCCGGGAGAGGGAUGCGGAAUUCCAAGUGUAGCGGUGAAAUGCGUAGAUAUCUGGAGGAACACCGGUGGCGAAGGCGGCAUCCUGGACCGGCAUUGACGCUGAGGCGCGAAAGCCAGGGGAGCAAACGGG